Molecule: transfer RNA, 57 nt
Filed under: Odocoileus virginianus texanus
Lineage: Eukaryota; Metazoa; Chordata; Mammalia; Artiodactyla; Cervidae
Also listed under: 4 other names
Rfam family: tRNA
About the family: Transfer RNA (tRNA) molecules are approximately 80 nucleotides in length. Their secondary structure includes four short double-helical elements and three loops (D, anti-codon, and T loops). Further hydrogen bonds mediate the characteristic L-shaped molecular structure. tRNAs have two regions of fundamental functional importance: the anti-codon, which is responsible for specific mRNA codon recognition, and the 3' end, to which the tRNAs corresponding amino acid is attached (by aminoacyl-tRNA synthetases). tRNAs cope with the degeneracy of the genetic code in two manners: having more than one tRNA (with a specific anti-codon) for a particular amino acid; and 'wobble' base-pairing, i.e. permitting non-standard base-pairing at the 3rd anti-codon position.
Source: Rfam by way of RNAcentral
UAUCUCAGUUGGUAAAGAAUCUGCCUGCAAUGCAGGAGACCCUGGUUCAAUUCCUGG